GCCAGCAUAGUACAGUGGUUUGAGCAUUUGGCUAUAACUCUGGAGAUCAGGGUUUGAUUCCCUGCUCAAGCA
Molecule: non-coding RNA, 72 nt
Organism: Phrynosoma platyrhinos (Desert horned lizard)
Lineage: Eukaryota; Metazoa; Chordata; Lepidosauria; Squamata; Phrynosomatidae
Source: the annotation of a GenBank genome assembly